GUUGUCCUGACAACCAACCACUCAGCUGGAGCGACCGCCAGAGGAGGAGCUAUUCUGUGAUUUCUGAGCCGUACAAGUGCAUUAUUGUAUUAUUUGUUGCGUCUUAGUGUCUGUGUGUGUUGUUUGUUGUUGUGUGUCUGUGUGUCUGUGCUUUUAUUUCAGGUAACACCUCACUUUCCGGUUAUACCAUCCUUUCCGGAUCAUCCAGUGAUGGAGCGCCACACUUUUGAAAGGACACCCCACUAUGACUACACGGAUGACGAGUACCUAAUAUGAUAGAUUUACCAAGACCAGCAAUUCAUAACAGAUGUAAAGUAAACUAUCUACAGCCAACCCAUACACAAUGUAUAGAGAGGCAGAGCACAUACAUGACUGCCUUUCCAUGCUCGAUAUCACAGGUGGUCCCAACAAUGAGACCCCUGCAAUCAUACUGCAUACUUAUCCCCCAUUCUGGGAAUAGGGUAUACAUCUUAACCUCUUAAGGACGCAGG
Molecule: long non-coding RNA, 491 nt
Organism: Hyla sarda
Lineage: Eukaryota; Metazoa; Chordata; Amphibia; Anura; Hylidae
Exons: 3
Source: RefSeq, a predicted model, not a curated record